GUUCUAAAUGCCAUCUGCAUGCCAUCUGCAUGCAGUUUGGCUGGCGGCUUGUUAUUCCAGCAUUGCCUCACGGCCGACUUAGCAGUGACUCACAGACAACCGACUCGAGGUACACAGAACUCACUCAAGGACUUCUCCGCCGGCCAGAGCCCGACACCGGGACUCUCGCAAAGCACGUGUCUACCCCGAUCGGUCAAGAAACAAGGUCCCAAAGAAGCCGAAGGCUCCCGGUCCCCAAGCUCCUCCACACUCUCCAGACCAGCAGUCUGGUGGGCUUGCCUGCCUGGUCUGUGGCUCUCCCUUACCCCCAAUUCCGGCCACCCCCCGCCAUCUCCAGCUCUGCUUUCCCGCCACCCGGAGCCAUCCCGUCCCUCGGGGCUGGUACCUGACUGAGAAGACGCGGGCGUGACACGAUGCCCCGCAGGUCGAUGUAGACUGGGGAGGAGAGCCCGCUCUUCAGUACGAAGCUCCCGAACUUGAAAGCCUGCACGUCAUACAGCUCGGCGACCAAGGGGCCCAGGGCUUGGCGGACGACCUCCAUUCUCGCGCGCUCAGUUCGCUCGGGAAGCCGAGGGGCUUGGGGCCCGUGACGUCACCCAGAAGCCCCGCCUCUUCCGCCCCCCUUUCCGGCCUGGGUCGCGGGCUCCCUCGAGUGUGCCCGAUGCUUCCUGGUUGAGGAGCUGGGUUUUCAAACCUGCAAGCUAGAUGGAAGCCCGAUUUCCCCCGGAGGGAUCAAUAGGCUUCGUUUAUUUAUUUAUUUUUUUAUGGUUUAUUUUGUUUGUUUUGUUUAUAGCUUAGCGCUUCUUUAUCUGAUCCAGUCACUGUUAACAGCCACUUCCCUACUCUCUCAGGGUUUCUUUCCAGAAAAUAAAAAUCCACUAAAACAGA
This 888-nucleotide long non-coding RNA is filed under the name Mus pahari (shrew mouse). Its description in RNAcentral is "predicted gene 15829 (MGP_PahariEiJ_G0002394.1)". Lineage: Eukaryota; Metazoa; Chordata; Mammalia; Rodentia; Muridae. The record is from RNAcentral.